RNAcentral lists this ribosomal RNA (406 nucleotides) under uncultured bacterium. RNAcentral describes it as "partial 16S ribosomal RNA". It matches the Rfam family "Bacterial small subunit ribosomal RNA", at positions 30 to 526 of the family's 1533-position model. The record is from RNAcentral.
AUUGAACGCUGGCGGCAUGCCUAACACAUGCAAGUCGAACGAGUGGCGGACGGGUGAGGCAUGUGUGUGUAACUGCCUGAGGGAGGUGGCUAACUACUGGAAACGGUAGCUAAUCCCACAUACCAUCAGAUGUGCCCAGAUGGGGUUAGCUAGUUGGUGGGGUAACGGCUCACCAAGGCGACGCUCCCUAGCUGGUCUGAGAGGAUGACCAGCCACACUGGGACUGAGACACGGUCCGGACUCCUACGGGAGGCAGCAGUGGGGAAUAUUGCGCAAUGGGCGCAAGCCUGAUGCAGCCAUGCCGCGUGUAUGAAGAAGGCCUUCGGGUUGUAAAGUUCUUUCAGCGGGGAGGCGUUACCCGCAGAAGAAGCACCGGCUAACUCCGUGCCAGCAGCCGCGGUAAUAC